RNAcentral lists this ribosomal RNA (472 nucleotides) under Listeria monocytogenes. Its description in RNAcentral is "partial 23S ribosomal RNA". It matches the Rfam family "Bacterial large subunit ribosomal RNA", at positions 336 to 811 of the family's 2925-position model. Lineage: Bacteria; Bacillati; Bacillota; Bacilli; Caryophanales; Listeriaceae. The record is from RNAcentral.
AAUCAUCUGGAAAGAUGAAUCAAAGAAGGUAAUAAUCCUGUAGUCGAAAACAUAUUCUCUCUUGAGUGGAUCCUGAGUACGACGGAGCACGUGAAAUUCCGUCGGAAUCUAGGAGGACCAUCUCCUAAGGCUAAAUACUCUCUAGUGACCGAUAGUGAACCAGUACCGUGAGGGAAAGGUGAAAAGUACCCCGGAAGGGGAGUGAAAGAGAACUUGAAACCGUGUGCUUACAAGUAGUCAGAGCCCGUUUAUGGGUGAUGGCGUGCCUUUUGUAGAAUGAACCGGCGAGUUACGAUCUGAUGCAAGGUUAAGCAGCGAAUGUGGAGCCGUAGCGAAAGCGAGUCUGAAUAGGGCGUUGAGUAUUUGGUCGUAGACCCGAAACCAGGUGAUCUACCCUUGGUCAGGUUGAAGUUCAGGUAACACUGAAUGGAGGACCGAACCGACUUACGUUGAAAAGUGAGCGGAUGAACUG